CAGAGCAAGGACACCCUAGUCAAAGGAGUUUGGAUCCACAGCUCAAGGCUGGAGGGAAGUUGUGCGGCUGUGUCACGCGGGAGUCAGCCACCCUGUGGUCGUCUGAAGUCAGCUGCGUGCAAAUGGAAACCAGACUCCUGGCCAGGUGCCCCCACUGCAUAGCUGGGGCACCAAGGCUGCAACCAGGUCUGCCCUGUGACGGGAUCCCUGCCGCCCCCCACCCCAGGAGCCUCAGAGCCGGCCUCAGGACAUCCUCCCAGAAGUACAAAUGUGAUCUGGCUGCUGUGGUCUCUGCAGCUGAAUGAAGCAGAACGACUCUUCCACACAAGUGGGCAAACUGAAGAUGGAAAGAUGUACCCUGUGUGGAGAGUGUCCAGAGCUCUCCAGACUGUCCCUGUUGGAAUAAAACAGUGUGACCCUUGA
Long non-coding RNA from Erinaceus europaeus (western European hedgehog), 423 nucleotides. RefSeq lists it as uncharacterized. NCBI's taxonomy places the organism in Eukaryota, Metazoa, Chordata, Mammalia, Eulipotyphla, Erinaceidae. The transcript has 2 exons. The record is from RefSeq and is a predicted model, not a curated record.